UACGUAGGUGGCAAGCGUUGUCCGGAUUUACUGGGCGUAAAGGGCGUGCAGGCGGUUUGUUAAGUCUAGGGUGAAAGCUCCCGGCUCAACUGGGAGAGGUCCUUGGAUACUGGCAGACUUGAGGAGGGUAGAGGAGAGUGGAAUUCCCGGUGUAGUGGUGAUAUGCGUAGAUAUCGGGAGGAACACCGGUGGCGAAGGCGGUCUGCUGGGGUAAUGCUGACACUGAUGCGCGACAGCGUGGGGAGCAAACAGG
This 253-nucleotide ribosomal RNA is filed under the name uncultured bacterium. RNAcentral's name for it is "partial 16S ribosomal RNA". It matches the Rfam family "Bacterial small subunit ribosomal RNA", at positions 524 to 776 of the family's 1533-position model. The record is from RNAcentral.